This 72-nucleotide transfer RNA is filed under the name Hordeum vulgare. RNAcentral describes it as "tRNA-OTHER". The record is from RNAcentral. Lineage: Eukaryota; Viridiplantae; Streptophyta; Magnoliopsida; Poales; Poaceae.
CGAUCGGUAGCAUAGUGGUAGGGUGUAGUGUUGUUGGGGCUGUGGUCGUGGGUUCGAGUCCCAGAGGAGCCC